Molecule: ribosomal RNA, 483 nt
Filed under: uncultured bacterium
Lineage: Bacteria
Description: partial 16S ribosomal RNA
Rfam family: Bacterial small subunit ribosomal RNA
Source: RNAcentral
GACGAACGCUGGCGGCGUGCUUAACACAUGCAAGUCGAACGCUGAAGCUCAGCUUUUGUUGGGUGGAUGAGUGGCGAACGGGUGAGUAACACGUGAGUAACCUGCCCCCUGCUUUGGGAUAACGACCGGAAACGGGUGCUAAUACUGGAUAUUCACUGGUCUUCGCAUGGGGGGUGGUGGAAAGGGCUUUUCUGGUGGGGGAUGGGCGCGGUGCUUAUCGGCUUGGUGGGGGGGUGAUGGCCUACCAAGGCUUUGGCGGGUAGCCGGCCUGAGAGGGUGCCCGGUCACAUGGGGACUGAGAUACGGCCCAGGCUACUGCGGGGGGGAGCAGUGGGGAAAAUUGCACAAAGGGCGGAAGACUGAUGCAGCGAUGCCGCGUGAGGCAUGGAGGCCUUCAGGUUGUGACCCUCUUUCGCACAUGGUCAAGCCGCAACAAUGGUUGUAGUGAGGGUAGUGGGUAAAGAAGCGCCGGCUAACUACGUG